Molecule: ribosomal RNA, 755 nt
Filed under: uncultured bacterium
Lineage: Bacteria
Description: bacterial SSU rRNA
Rfam family: Bacterial small subunit ribosomal RNA
Source: RNAcentral
GACGAACGCUGGCGGCGUGCUUAAUACAUGCAAGUCGAGCGAGGUUACUGUUUCGGAUCCCUUCGGGGUGAAGAAGCUUUAACCUAGCGGCGGACGGGUGAGUAACGCGUGGGUAACCUACCCCAAAGUCCGGGAUAACAGCGGGAAACCGCUGCUAAUACCGGAUGUCUUUACCUUGGGGCAUCUUGAGGUAAAGAAAGGUAACGCUUUGGGAUGGGCCCGCGUCCCAUUAGCUAGUUGGUGAGGUAACGGCUCACCAAGGCGACGAUGGGUAGCCGGCCUGAGAGGGUGGACGGCCACACUGGGACUGAGACACGGCCCAGACUCCUACGGGAGGCGGCAGUAGGGAAUAUUGCGCAAUGGACGGAAGUCUGACGCAGCGACGCCGCGUGAGCGAUGAAGGUCUUCGGAUCGUAAAGCUCUGUCCUUGGGGAAGAAGGCGAAAGCUUGACGGUACCCAAGAAGAAAGCCCCGGCUAACUACGUGCCAGCAGCCGCGGUAAUACGUAGGGGGCGAGCGUUGUCCGGAAUUACUGGGCGUAAAGGGUGCGUAGGCGGCCCUUUAAGUCGGAUGUGAAAGCCCGCGGCUUAACCGCGGAAUGGCAUUCGAAACUGGAGGGCUUGAGUGUCGGAGAGGGUAGUGGAAUUCCCAGUGUAGCGGUGAAAUGCGUAGAUUUUGGGAGGAACACCAGUGGCGAAGGCGACUACCUGGACGAUAACUGACGCUGAGGCACGAAAGCUAGGGGAGCAAACAGG